Molecule: long non-coding RNA, 345 nt
Filed under: Pongo abelii (Sumatran orangutan)
Lineage: Eukaryota; Metazoa; Chordata; Mammalia; Primates; Hominidae
Description: lncRNA (ENSPPYG00000030942.1)
Source: RNAcentral
GCUCACUAAACCUGAGCUGCGAUGGUCCUUUCCAGGCGCUGUCCACGCCCCGAGGCCUGGGCUCAGGCCGAAGUUGCUCCACAGCACCCCCAGCUGACAGCCAGCGACUGGCAGAGCCCCCAGGCACGGGGGCCCUCUCUCUUCCAGAGAUCUCCAGUGUGACAGCCCAGGCGGCAGAGCCGAGGGUCCUGGUCCCGGCUUCUCGCACCCUCAUGUCAGCCCCGGCCCCGCCCGGCGGCCUGCGGAGGACAAGGUCAGGAUGCGUGUGAAGCCCCAGGGCCUGGUGGUGACUUCCAGUGCCGUGUGCAGCUCUCCUGACUACCUCCGGGAACCCAAGUACUACCC